CGGCAUCUCAAUUGUUUAUUCAUUCUCUGUUCAAAACCAAAAUUUCCAAAUCCAAACAUGCAUAUACAUAUCAUUAAAUCUAGUAUUUGUAAUUCAUAAGAAAUCGAAAAGGAAUACAUAUUCAUUGAUUUUACAGGAAACAAACUUAGAUUUAGAAACCUAAAUUGAUAAAGGGAGUUGGGAUGAAAUGGGGUGAGGAGCUACUCGCCGGAGCUACGACCGCCGCCACAUAUGAGAGGCGGCGGCGGAGAGAAGCGCAGGCGGCGGAGAGAAGCGCAGGCGGCGGCGCGGUGGUCUCUGCCACUGCUGCGCUGAUCCGGUCGGGGAGAGGGAGGAGGUGAUUGGGCGGCUGCCGCUGUCGCGAGGACGGUGAUGGCGGCGCUGCUGCCGGGCAGGAGAAGAUGGAUGGAAGGCGGCGCCGGAUGUGGUGAAGGGAGGAAGGCGAUGAGGAAGGGUGAAUUUCGGAGAGAGAGAGAGACAAUAAAGAGAUGAGGGCGGUGGUGGUGGUGACCGCCGGUGAAGCGGCGGCGGUGAAUAGUUGGCGGCGUAAGCAAUAGGAGAAGGGGAGGAGAGAGGGGUUCUAUGAAUUGAGUUUAAGAAGUGAGAGAUUUUGGGGGCUCUGCGUGACUGCGUGUUUUACAAAGAUGGAGAGAGAAACGAGUGUCAAGAGUUGAGGGAGAGAAUUAGUUUGGCAGAUUUUAAUUGAUUUAGAACUUGGGGCUUAAGGAUAAAUGGGCUAAUUGAGAAUGGGCUUUUAAUUUAAGUAAGGG
RNAcentral lists this long non-coding RNA (770 nucleotides) under Salvia miltiorrhiza (redroot sage). Its description in RNAcentral is "long non-coding RNA (SMIL_LNC011575)". The record is from RNAcentral. Lineage: Eukaryota; Viridiplantae; Streptophyta; Magnoliopsida; Lamiales; Lamiaceae.